Scomber scombrus (Atlantic mackerel) is the source of this 374-nucleotide non-coding RNA. Lineage: Eukaryota; Metazoa; Chordata; Actinopteri; Scombriformes; Scombridae. The record is from the annotation of a RefSeq genome assembly.
CUGAACACUGCAUCAGGAUGAUGUUGCCAAUAACUCUGCUGGUCAUGUUGGGUUUUCUGACUCAGGAGUCUUCUGCCAACAAUUUCCUGACUCAGACUGACAAAUCCAAGUCUGUCAGUCUUGGUGGGACGGUGACCAUCAGCGCCUCAGGGAGUUCAAACAUUGGUGCUGAUCUCAGUUGGUACCUUCAGAAACCUGGACAAGCUCCCAAACUUCUUAUAUACACAUCUUCAAGCAGCUUCUCAGGAACUCCAUCUCGAUUCAGUGGCAGUAGAUCUGGUUCUGACUACACUCUGACCAUCAGUGGUGUUCAGGCUGAAGAUGUUGGAGAUUACUACUGUCUGGGUGCCCAUGGUGGUGCGUUCACACAGUGA